RNAcentral lists this long non-coding RNA (208 nucleotides) under Lathyrus oleraceus (garden pea). Its description in RNAcentral is "Pisum sativum (pea) long non-coding RNA (PSAT_LNC008803)". The record is from RNAcentral. Lineage: Eukaryota; Viridiplantae; Streptophyta; Magnoliopsida; Fabales; Fabaceae.
CUAAAAAAAUAUAAGGCUGGUAAUGAUGUGACGUGCUGAUAUUUUGUGGAACCUCCUAGAGGAAUCAUCACUUUUCUGCUUGUUGAUGCUAGUGAAAUUUUAUUUUUUAGAUGAUUUUCUACUUUUUUUUUUCCUUUUCUUGUACAAAAAAUAAAAUAUCAGGACAAUUUUUUUAAGAGAUUAAUUACUAUACACUGUCAGUGUAAAA